RNAcentral lists this transfer RNA (72 nucleotides) under Heterocephalus glaber (naked mole-rat). It matches the Rfam family "tRNA". Rfam says of the family: Transfer RNA (tRNA) molecules are approximately 80 nucleotides in length. Their secondary structure includes four short double-helical elements and three loops (D, anti-codon, and T loops). The record is from Rfam by way of RNAcentral. Lineage: Eukaryota; Metazoa; Chordata; Mammalia; Rodentia; Bathyergidae.
UCUUUGAUGGUCUAGUGCUUAUAAUUUAGCGCUUUCACUGCUGUGGCCCAGGUUCGAUUCCCAGUCAGGGAA